Molecule: small nucleolar RNA, 126 nt
Organism: Molossus molossus (Pallas's mastiff bat)
Lineage: Eukaryota; Metazoa; Chordata; Mammalia; Chiroptera; Molossidae
Product: small nucleolar RNA SNORA26
Exons: 1
Source: RefSeq, a predicted model, not a curated record
UUACCCAUUUUAAAACCACAAAUAGGGUGCCUUAGGAGGCUAACACAGAAGGGUACAGUAAGUCUCCAUAAAACCCAGAGAAGAGAUGGUAAAACUCCUCUUUGGAUCCUGUCUGGAGUCACAACU